Molecule: ribosomal RNA, 402 nt
Filed under: uncultured bacterium
Lineage: Bacteria
Description: bacterial SSU rRNA
Rfam family: Bacterial small subunit ribosomal RNA
Source: RNAcentral
AACGAACGCUGGCGGCGCGCUUAACACAUGCAAGUCGAACGAGAAGGCGUAGCAAUACGCUUGUACAGUGGCGAACGGGUGAGUAAUACGUGGGCGACCUACCCUCGAGUGGGGAAUAACCCGCCGAAAGGCGGGCUAAUGCCGCGUACGCUUCCAUCUUUAUGGAGGUGGAAGGAAAGCCGUGCCGUGGGCACGGCGCUCAAGGAUGGGCUCACGUCCUAUCAGCUUGUUGGAGGGUAACGGCCUACCAAGGCUCCGACGGGUAGCUGGUCUGAGAGGACGAUCAGCCACACUGGCACUGCGACACGGGCCAGACUCCUACGGGAGGCAGCAGUGAGGAAUAUUGCGCAAUGGGCGAAAGCCUGACGCAGCGACGCCGCGUGGGGGAGUGAAGGUCUUCGG